This 1305-nucleotide ribosomal RNA is filed under the name Micrococcus sp. SJ1. Its description in RNAcentral is "bacterial SSU rRNA". It matches the Rfam family "Bacterial small subunit ribosomal RNA", at positions 119 to 1444 of the family's 1533-position model. Lineage: Bacteria; Bacillati; Actinomycetota; Actinomycetes; Micrococcales; Micrococcaceae. The record is from RNAcentral.
GAGUAACCUGCCCUUAACUCUGGGAUAAGCCUGGGAAACUGGGUCUAAUACCGGAUAGGAGCGUCCACCGCAUGGUGGGUGUUGGAAAGAUUUAUCGGUUUUGGAUGGACUCGCGGCCUAUCAGCUUGUUGGUGAGGUAAUGGCUCACCAAGGCGACGACGGGUAGCCGGCCUGAGAGGGUGACCGGCCACACUGGGACUGAGACACGGCCCAGACUCCUACGGGAGGCAGCAGUGGGGAAUAUUGCACAAUGGGCGCAAGCCUGAUGCAGCGACGCCGCGUGAGGGAUGACGGCCUUCGGGUUGUAAACCUCUUUCAGUAGGGAAGAAGCGAAAGUGACGGUACCUGCAGAAGAAGCACCGGCUAACUACGUUUCAGCAGCCGCGGUAAUACGUAGGGUGCGAGCGUUAUCCGGAAUUAUUGGGCGUAAAGAGCUCGUAGGCGGUUUGUCGCGUCUGUCGUGAAAGUCCGGGGCUUAACCCCGGAUCUGCGGUGGGUACGGGCAGACUAGAGUGCAGUAGGGGAGACUGGAAUUCCUGGUGUAGCGGUGGAAUGCGCAGAUAUCAGGAGGAACACCGAUGGCGAAGGCAGGUCUCUGGGCUGUAACUGACGCUGAGGAGCGAAAGCAUGGGGAGCGAACAGGAUUAGAUACCCUGGUAGUCCAUGCCGUAAACGUUGGGCACUAGGUGUGGGGACCAUUCCACGGUUUCCGCGCCGCAGCUAACGCAUUAAGUGCCCCGCCUGGGGAGUACGCUAAAACUCAAAGGAAUUGACGGGGGCCCGCACAAGCGGCGGAGCAUGCGGAUUAAUUCGAUGCAACGCGAAGAACCUUACCAAGGCUUGACAUGUUCUCGAUCGCCGUAGAGAUACGGUUUCCCCUUUGGGGCGGGUUCACAGGUGGUGCAUGGUUGUCGUCAGCUCGUGUCGUGAGAUGUUGGGUUAAGUCCCGCAACGAGCGCAACCCUCGUUCCAUGUUGCCAGCACGUCGUGGUGGGGACUCAUGGGAGACUGCCGGGGUCAACUCGGAGGAAGGUGAGGACGACGUCAAAUCAUCAUGCCCCUUAUGUCUUGGGCUUCACGCAUGCUACAAUGGCCGGUACAAUGGGUUGCGAUACUGUGAGGUGGAGCUAAUCCCAAAAAGCCGGUCUCAGUUCGGAUUGGGGUCUGCAACUCGACCCCAUGAAGUCGGAGUCGCUAGUAAUCGCAGAUCAGCAACGCUGCGGUGAAUACGUUCCCGGGCCUUGUACACACCGCCCGUCAAGUCACGAAAGUUGGUAACACCCGAAGCCGGUGGCCUAACCCUUG